Molecule: ribosomal RNA, 501 nt
Filed under: uncultured bacterium
Lineage: Bacteria
Description: partial 16S ribosomal RNA
Rfam family: Bacterial small subunit ribosomal RNA
Source: RNAcentral
ACGAACGCUGGCGGCGUGCCUAAUACAUGCAAGUCGAACGCACCGCGACUAAGUGCUUGCACUAAGUCAAGGCGAGUGGCGAACGGGUGAGUAACACGUGGGUAACCUACCUCAUAGUGGGGGAUAACAGUCGGAAACGACUGCUAAUACCGCAUAGGACAUAGGAUCACAUGAUCCAGUGAGGAAAGGUGGCGCAAGCUAUCGCUAAGAGAUGGAACCGCGGUGCAUUAGCUAGUUGGUAGGGUAAAGGCCUACCAAGGCGAUGAUGCAUAGCCGACCUGAGAGGGUGAUCGGCCACAUUGGGACUGAGACACGACCCAAACUCCUACGGGAGGCAGCAGUAGGGAAUCUUCCGCAAUGGACGCAAGUCUGACGGAGCAACGCCGCGUGAGUGAAGAAGGUCUUCGGAUCGUAAAGCUCUGUUGUUAGAGAAGAACAGCGCAUAGAGUAACUGCUAUGCGUGUGACGGUAUCUAACCAGAAAGCCACGGCUAACUACGUG